CUUAUACAGGGUCGUAGGCGCGUAGAAACAUUCUGGGGAGACGGAGAAGAAAAAUAAUGACUGUCCGAAAAAGAAUCAAAGUGCCUGGAUGUUUACAGGAGGAUGGUGGCACAGUCACAGCUUCCUGGGCGGGGACGGCCUUCUGCGUGGGUGACACCUUGGAUCAGGUUGUUGAUGCGUCAUGGGACUGCUGGAUUGUACACUGAAAAGUAAUCCAGUGCGAAUGCUCCCUGUAAAGAGACACUGUUCAAGAUUGUUUGAAGAUAAGAAUGAAAUUAGAAAAUAAAAUAGCCCGGAGAUGUUUUGCCGUACCUUUGAAAAUGGGCCAGAGCUGCUAAGGACAAGAUUGCCCAAACCACUCAGAGAUGGUAAUAAUAGCCCUUUGUGCCUCUUUGUAGACAGUCAGGUGGAUCAACAACUAUUUUUAUUGACGUCUCUGACACCUACUUGUUAAAGGUCACAAAUGGUAUGUCUAAAAUUCUAAACGAUUAGAACAAUCCAGACUUUUGAACCCAGGGCCUUUACACUGAGCUACAUCCCCUGCCUGCCUUUUAUUCUCUCUCUCUCUCCCUCUCCCUCUCCCUCUUCCUCUCUCCUCUCUUAUCUCCUGCUUCAACCUCGGAGAAUGCUGGGAUUACAUGCGACCCCCACCGGGCUUGCCUCUGAUCUUUUUUUGUCUUAAGUGUUGAACUAAAUUCAAGAUGCCAGGGCCAGGGAUUUAGCUCAGUGGCACCACACCUGCCUCUCAGGAACAAGGUCCUGAGUAUGAUGCCCAGUACCAAAAAAAAAGGAUUCCAGAAUGCAAGUAUAAAAGCAUUAUGUCUAUUUUAAGCCUAAUAUAUUGAUAAAUAAGUUCUAGAUACCUAAUAUGCAGCAGUGUGAAUGCAGUUAAUAAUACUAUAUUGUAUACUUGAAAUUUGCUGUCUGUAGAUCUUAAGUGUUCCCACCAAAAGCAAAACCAAAGUAACUAUGAAGAGAAAAGGAUAUGUUAAUUAGCUUGACUAUGGUGUGUACAAUACAAUGUAUAUUAAAACAUCAAGUUGGGCCAGGGAUUUAACUCAGCCGUUCCACUGCCUGCCUCAAAAGCCCAAGGUCCUGAGUUUGAUCCCUGGUACAAAACAACAAAACAAAACAAAACAUCAAGUUGUACACCUUAAAUAUAUAUUUUGUCAGUUAUACUUCAAUAAAGCUGAAGAUUUUAAAAAGCAA
Molecule: long non-coding RNA, 1209 nt
Filed under: Heterocephalus glaber (naked mole-rat)
Lineage: Eukaryota; Metazoa; Chordata; Mammalia; Rodentia; Bathyergidae
Description: lncRNA (ENSHGLG00000037856.1)
Source: RNAcentral